ACCAUGUCUCCACACGACUAAACAUCUCUUAUGCUUGGUAUUGGUUAUGUGGUGUAUCUUUUGCCAGCUGUAUUGCCACUAAAAUACUUGUAUGGGCAUCCAGCUCAUCUUAUGCAUUGUGGUCUUUCCUUUGAUUGAAAAUUUUAAAUGCUGGCACUUCUGUUCAGGAUAAAGGCAGUCAUUGAUUCAUGAUUAGGUUCAUAAAAAAGUAAAUCAUAAUCAUUUUCUAGAGAAAUAGAGAUCUAUACGUAGUAGCUAGUUUCAGAACCAACAGUUUCCCCCUAAAAGAUGCUAACUCUAUCGUAUUCUCAAAUUUUUUUCUAGCAUUGCCAAAUUUACUUUCUCAUUUCUCUGCGUACAGAAAAGAAUCCGACUUCCUUUUAGUUUCUUGACAGACUUCCAUGGCUAAAUUAAUUUCAAAUACCCAAAUUAGCUUUCGUGGACUUCGCCAAGUUCAUUUUUGGUAUGUUGCUCAGUCAAUCUUCAGCCUUGAUUAAAAUGGCAAUGGCAUUCUCCAAAACCUACCAUAUUCAGAAACCUGGCACCCUGCGGGAUUUCCAGAAUUUCGGUGAAACUGGUUUCUGUAACAUUGUUAGCCAACCACACUGAGCACACUGGGCAGUGUGUGGCAACUCUUUAUUAUGUAUUCGCAUGUGCGGCUAUAGUUGGUACAUUCAAGUGUUUGGUAGUGGUGUCCUUAGCAGCCAACAGUUGGUGGCUGCACAAUGACAUAAAUUUGGGUUAAAUGGGCAAAGCAAA
Molecule: long non-coding RNA, 759 nt
Organism: Lolium rigidum
Lineage: Eukaryota; Viridiplantae; Streptophyta; Magnoliopsida; Poales; Poaceae
Exons: 2
Source: RefSeq, a predicted model, not a curated record